Atta colombica is the source of this 4123-nucleotide RNA transcript. It is a transcript of the gene named F-BAR domain only protein 2, with no coding region annotated. NCBI's taxonomy places the organism in Eukaryota, Metazoa, Arthropoda, Insecta, Hymenoptera, Formicidae. The record is from RefSeq and is a predicted model, not a curated record. The transcript has 13 exons.
GCGAACGCAAGUUGACCCGUGUUUCUGCGCUCGAGCGCGCCCGUUUUGCUCGCGAUUCCAUUCCCCAUCCCCGCUGGUAGCGUCUGAAGUCAGACUUCACACCGAGUCACUGCCGUUCUGUGAAUCGGAGUAUUGCAUUCUUGUGUGUCGCGUCCCAUCACGAAGCGCAGUGCCCGUGCGUGUCACGCGCGCUGCCGUUCGCGGGCGAGAAGAAAAAGAGUGCGGUGCAAUUCGUGCCGAUACAUACGUAAGGUUGAGGCGAGGUGGUAUGAUGGUCUGAUCGCGGUCUCAACAUGACCGUGGAUUUUGUCGACUACUUUUGGGGCGAAAAGAAUAAUGGAUUUGACGUGUUGUAUCAUAACAUGAAGCAUGGUGUAAUCGCCAGCAAGGAAUUGGCUGAAUUUUUGCGAGAAAGAUCAGCCAUAGAGGAAAACAAUUAUAAACUUCUUAGUAAGGUAGCGAAACAGGCGAGCAAUAGCACGCAAGGGACAUUCGCACCUGUCUGGGCUGCUCUGAGAGGUGCCGCCGAAAAACUCGCCGUUUUACACUUUCAAAUGGCCCAGCGAGUGUCCGAACUCAUAAAAGAUGUGUCAAAAUAUGCGGACGAAUUACACAAGAAACAUAAGGCUGUGAAGGAAGAAGAAUCGUCUACUUUAGAAGUUGUACAAAGUAUACAAAGCAUUACGGUAACGUUACAUAAGGCGAAAGACAUGUGUAUGCAAAAACGCCUGGAAUUAGAAAAAUUAAGGAAGGACAAUGCCAGUCAAAGGGAGCUGGAGAAGGCGGAAGGCAAGUUCAAAAAGGCACAAGAUGAUUAUAGGACGCUGGUGGACAAGUACACGGUCAUACGAAACGACUUCGAGGCAAAAAUGACUCAAGCUUGCAGGCGGUUCCAAGAUGUAGAAGAGACGCAUCUGAAGCACAUGAAGGAAUUUCUGAAUACAUACGCUGACGUUUUGCAAACCAAUCACGAGCAAGUUGGCCAGGUUCAUAUCGACUUCAAACGACAAUGCGUUGAUAUGACGGUGGAGAAGUUAUUAGAGCAAUUCGUUCAAAGUAAAUACACGGGUUUCGAAAAACCAGGUGUGAUUGAGUACGAAGAAGUGAUGACGAGUUUAGCGGAAAUGACCAGCCACUCUCAGUCAGAAGGCAGCGUAGAGACACCUAAGGAAACGUCGAAGAGCACCAAUGGCGAAACAGGCGUAGCCGGUAACAGUCACAGUUCAAAGAAAGAUCAGGGAUUAAAGGGGGAGGGUAGUACUUUGAGGGUACUGGACGGGGAAAGGGGGAGGGUGAUAUUGGAAAAGGAUAGAGAAAAAGAAAAACAGAAGGAAAAGGACAGAGAACUGUCACAUGCACAAACCACCAAGGCUUCCCGCCGUACUACCUCGCUACUCAACCUGUUCAUGUCCAACUCCCAUGGGUUUCUACGCAGUAGGAGAGAAAAACGAAAGGAGAAGAAGGCGAAGAAGAAGAAGGAUCUCAUGGACACAAGCAGCAAUAAAGAAGAAAAGUCUGACCUGGAGGACAAAGAAGACAGCAGAAAAUCAGAAACGCCGACACCAGAGGUGGACGAAGAUGGUUUUUGUAUUAGACCGAAGCCGGAUCCAUGGGAAAAUGAAAAGGGAUUUUAUUCCAGUUCGGAUACUGAUUCGGAAGAUGAGAGAGAACGUAAAAUACGAGUGGAAAUAAAGCCUCUUAGCAAUGGUGGUGCACCCAUGAGCGCUAGUGUAGACGAAUUGAGGGCGACAGUGGAAAAUUUAUCUUUAUCACCUGCACCAACAGGACGUAGAGGAUCAAAUACUGAUUCCGAUCAUCAUAUGAAAAGGUCUCAGUCAGUGUCACAGCAAUUAGGAGGUAAGCCAAGCUCAGAUUUACUUGGCCUAAACUUGUUCAAUCCUAGCAGUACGCCAUCGAGCGCGUCGACACCGACCGGUAGCCACCCUUACGCCCCGCUGCAGAGUCCACCGCCACUUUCCACAUCGCCGACUCCGUCGCAGCCGCCGCCGCCACAAUCUGCACCGCCUACACAUUCUCAUACCCGAUUUCCAGAUGGGGAUUUAUUUUCGGAAGUUGGAGACAUCACACCGGCCUUGCCACCCAAGCAAUCCGCAUCCUCAACGCCGACGGGAUCGAUCGUAAUACCCAGACCGCCAUCGCGCCGAGGAGAAGGUCCAUCACCACGCGGUAGAAUGUCACCUGCGACGAUAUCUCGGGCUGAUAGCGUCGCUAGCCUGGAAUUUCGCACUGCUGGUGUGGGCGUGGGAUCUUCGCGGGGACCAUCUCCACUCACGAUCGGCCUAGCGGACACCAUUCCGUUGGCAGUCGCUUUCCAUGAGAUAGUGCAUUCCUAUUUCCGUGGUACGGAUGAAACCCGAUGUCAAGUAAAACUAAGCGGUGACAUGAUGCUCUCCUUUCCGGCUGGCAUUGUCACAGUCCUAGCAAAUAAUCCCAGUCCUGCCAAGCUGACCUUCCGCGUGAGGAACACCAAUAGGUUAGAGAGACUGUUGCCAAACAGCCAACUUAUCAGCAUGGACGCAACUCAAACUACCGUCGAUAGUACAAUCUUCGAAUUCAACAUGAGUGCCUUAACUAUGUUGCUUCGGCGGCAAGCUGAACAGAAUCCCUCGGCCUCGUAUUUCAAUGUAGACAUCCUCAAAUAUCAAAUCAAAUGCAAGGAAGGUGCUGGUUCAUGUCCUUUUCAAUUAGUCGCAUAUUGGAAAUGUGAAACAACCCACACCGAUCUCAAGAUCGAUUAUAAGUAUAACAGUCGCGCCAUGGCCUCGCCGAGCCCUCUACUGAAUCUCCAUGUUGCUGCGCCUAUUGAUGGCGGUUUUAAAUCGUUCAAUAGUAAACCAUUGGCACAGUGGCUGCCCGACACGAAUCGCGUACUAUGGAAAUUUACGGAGCUUUCGCAACAUAGCGAGGGUAACGGAGUUGGAUCCUUGAAAGCGCGAGUCGAGCUCGAACGCGGCCCGGGCAAUCAGGGCACGAUAUUUACACAGUUCAAUUGCGAAGGGACCACAUUGUCGGGUGUCGAAUUUGAGCUUAUAGGAUCUGGAUAUCGGUUGAGUUUGGUGAAGCGAAAAUUUGUGUCUGGAAAAUACAUAUGCGACGGAGACUUGGAUUCGCGUUCAAGGUACGCCGCACCGCCAUCUAAUGCAGAUUGACGACUUCCAGAAUGGGCGCCUCAAUGGGAGAGCCAGCCCAUUUAAUAUUGGUAGAAGCAUAUUACACGUGGUGAACGAGCCUUUCGGCAAGAGAUUCUGGCACGUACUAAUUUUUAGUUCAUUUUUAGUUCAUUUUUAUGCGCGCGAAGAUGAUAAUAUUAAGUAAGCUGUACGAUAAAACGCGAGUAAAAACUGUUUAACUGGUGGGGAAAUAACGAGAGACAGCGAGAAGCGAUAGCAAGAGAAAUAGAGAUAAAGAGUUUAAAUCAACGAUACUUUUUUAAACAUUAGCACAUGUUGAAUGCGAAACGAAUCAAAUACGAUUCUGUAUUUUUGAACGUUUAAAUGUUAAAACACAAUUUUGACGUCGAUAACAGAAUUUUAGCUUUAGGUAUAGCUAACGGCGAACAAGGAAAGUCGUUUAUCUAAAUGUUUUAAAUUGAGAUUCUUAGUAUUAUACGUAAAAUGCUGAAAGUUUCGUACCUAUUGCGAUUGUGGCGCGUUCCGUUUUCGCCUGUGAAAGCGUAUUCUCGUUAUAGUUAUAUCACACUUGUUCACACAUCACAUCCACAAUUGCCUCCUCUUCGGUUUUCGGCCAGAGUCAAAUCCUGAUGAUCUUUUUAAGUGCGCAUCAAUGAUGACAACUUUUUUCUUUAGAAAAAGUACCAUAAGAAAAUAAUUUUGAGAUAGCAACUGAUCUCUGACAAAAGGACUGUUAAUUUUCAAUAUCAAAAGGUGGCAAUCGUGAUCACAUUUAUUGCUUUAUACAAAUUGAUUGAUUUGAUCAAUUAUAUUACGAGGUAUCACGGACUAAUGUUAAGACAUUUUAUACAAGAUAUUGAUUCUCAAUAAGUAAGUCAAUUUCCUAAAGGCAUUAUUAAACAGUCGAUUUAUUUGUGUCACUACUUUUUUUAUCUUGGUAUUGAUCAUUUGCCAAUCAAUUAAAAAUUAAU